Molecule: ribosomal RNA, 401 nt
Filed under: uncultured bacterium
Lineage: Bacteria
Description: bacterial SSU rRNA
Rfam family: Archaeal small subunit ribosomal RNA
Source: RNAcentral
GCGCGAAAACUUUACAAUGCGAGAAAUCGUGAUAAGGGAACCCCGAGUGCCCGUAAAUUCGGGCUGUCCGCCAGUGUAAAUAACUGGUGAAGAAAGGGCCGGGCAAGACCGGUGCCAGCCGCCGCGGUAAUACCGGCGGCUCGAGUGGUGGCCACUAUUACUGGGCUUAAAGCGUCCGUAGCUGGAUUGUUAAGUCUCUUGGGAAAUCCACCGGCUCAACCGAUGGGCGUUCAGGAGAAACUGGCAAUCUAGGGACCGGGAGAGGUGAGAGGUACUCCAGGGGUAGGAGUGAAAUCCUGUAAUCCUUGGGGGACCACCUGUGGCGAAGGCGUCUCACUAGAACGGCUCCGACAGUGAGGGACGAAAGCUGGGGGAGCAAACCGGAUUAGAAACCCCAGUAG